Long non-coding RNA from Prinia subflava (tawny-flanked prinia), 11418 nucleotides. RefSeq lists it as uncharacterized. The transcript is spliced from 3 exons. NCBI's taxonomy places the organism in Eukaryota, Metazoa, Chordata, Aves, Passeriformes, Cisticolidae. The record is from RefSeq and is a predicted model, not a curated record.
GGUUCCAGGAGCGGAACUUCCUCCCGCUCCUGCCUUUCCUUUUACUCCUCCUCUGUCCCUCCUCUUCCUCCCGCUCCUCCUCCGCUCCCAGCCCGCCCCAGGCGGUGCCGACACCCAAAAUCAGCCGCGCUCUGCCCUGGCGGUGGGGUUCCAAAACUGCCCCGCCCCGCGCAGCACUGGGAGCGAUCCUGGGAGCGAUCCUGCGAGCAGCGGGAGCGAUCCUGAGAGAAGGAACUGGGACUACUUUCCCUCCCAGUAUGGCUCUUAUUGGAAGCACUGGGAGGGAACUGGGAGCCAACAGCGCCCGGACGCGGCUGCAGCCGGCGCUGGGCAGGGCCAAAGUAGAGGGCGUGGUUAUGCAAAUCUAGGCGCGCUGUGAUUGGUGGGCAGGAGCAGCGCGGGGUUACCAUAGUCACGUGAAGGCCGGGCUGGAGGCCGCAGCGAUGGCGGCGGUGUCCGGAAUUCCAUUUCCGAAAGUUUGGCCAGAUGGAGGAGGAGGCUGCAAGGAAGAGGAAGAUGGCCAAAGAGCCCCAGUCAGAAAAGGGGGAGCUGAGGAUGGAGACCAGGGAGGAGAAAUUCCCAUGGCAGAACCUCGUGGAUGAGGCCAUUUUGAGAGGCUCGACAGCACAAGAAUGCUGUGGGGACAAAAUGCUCCAGAGAUCCCACAUGAGGAGGGGCUCCAAACUCAGCCCAGGGAGCCCUAAGAAGGAAAGACUCACCCUGUGUUUUGAAAGCGGCCAGAGAUCCAGAUGCAGCUCAGAGCUGGUGGUCCCUGAGCAGCUCCAUGGCAGGGAGAAGCCAUUCCAAGUGCUUGGAAUGUGGGAAGAGCUUCAGCUGGAGCUCCAGCCUCCUCACCCACCUUUGGGUGCACAUGGAUGGGACCCCCUUUGAGCAGGGCCAGAUUUGAGCUGGAAUAUCGGGAUUCCCAGACCCAGGUUGGUGAGUGUGCCCAGCACAUCCAGCACCGACCUGGAGAUGCUGCAAGUCCAGUACAGUCAGAGCAGGGGUGAGUAGGAGGAGCCAGGGGCUGGGGGGAUCAGUGGGAAUGGGGGGUAUCUGUGGGGCUGGGAUGGGAGUUGUCCUCUUGCUCCUCACCAUUCUGUCCUUCCCAGAGCCCAGUCACUCCCAGUAUGAUCCCAGUUGCUCUCAGCAACUGGUUCCAAUUGCUCCCUGUUCCUCCCAGUGCGAUACCAGUGGCCUCUAGUAGAGUCCCAGUCACUCUCCAUAUGAUCCCAGUCUCUUCCACCAGGGUCCCAGUCACGCCCAGUUGCCCUCAGUGUAGACCUGGGCACUCCCACUUGCUCCCAGUUACUUCCAGCAUGGUCCCAGUUGUCCCCAGCAUGGUCUGGGUUGUUCUCAGUGUGGCUCCAGUCACCCCAGUAUGGUCAGGGACACUUCCAAUAUACCCCAGUGGCCUUCAGCAUGCUUGGAGUCAUUCCCAGUCACUCCCAUCAUGAUCUCUGUAUGAUCCCAGGAAUGCCCAGUCACUUCCAGUAGGAGCCCAAAGCUGAUGGAACAGCUGGAGGAUCCACCUGGAGGAGGGUCCCUACAAGUUCUCUGGCUGCAGGAAGAGCCCCAAGGAACAGAGAUCCCACCAGAACCACCACCCAAAGUAGGAGGUGGUGACAGCUCUGCAGCCUGGGGCCCCGGGACCACCAGGGGAGCCCCCAGACCGACAGCCCAGCAAGUGGCUCACACAGCCCCUCAUCCUGUCCCCAAAAUCCCACUCCUGGGAUCCCUCAUCCCCCUCUGCAAUCCCUCCUCCAACAUCUCCAGGCCUCUGGGAGGAGCCCAAAGGGAUGGAAGUGCCUAAAAUGCUGCUGAAGUGCCCGAACUGCUCCCAGCUGUGGAUGUUCCUGUCCACAAGCCUCUCUUGGUCAAUGCCAUGGUGUGCUGGGAAAGGGUUUAAGGGAUCCUGAGGGGAUUGGGAGGCGGUUUUGGUGGCUCUUGGUGGCAUUUGUAGUGUUAAGAACGGUCUGUGGGGGAGUUCUUGUAGUUCUGGGAGCAUUGUGUGGCUUGGAGAGAAUUUGUGUGGGUCUUGGUGGAGAUGGGAAAGAGUUUUGAAGGAUCUCAGGGCCAUUUAUAUUGCAUAGAGAGGCUUGGGGAGGGAGGACAGCUGGGAUCUGUGGGGUAGUUUGAGAGGGCUGGGAGUGGCUGUGGGGCUUGGGGGGGGAAUUUAGGCUGGUUGUGAGUCCCCAGACCCCCAGAGCUGCCACCAGACUCUGCCCACGAGGUGCUGCCAGUGGACAGGUGCUCAGUGUUGGAGUUUUUCUUCCUGACACCGUGAGAGUGUGUCCCUCCAGACCGUGUGUGACCCCCCCCCCAUCCCAGUGUCACCCCCUUUUCCCUCUCCACAGGGCUUCUGACCCAGCUCCUGCUUCUCCCAGCAGAGAAUUUGGGGAGGGGGCAGAGAGGUUGCGCAGCCCCCGAUGGGGGAUGACCCCACCCCAGCUUCUUUGUUUAGCACCAAGCUGGGCUUGGGUCCACGGGAGGAAGAGGAUGAUGGGAAGCAGAUCCUGCAGGUGGGACAGUGCUUGGGGUCAGGGCAAGGUCCUGCCCUGCACACCUGGCUCAGAUGUGACCCUGCCCAGGGUAGGGAGGAGGAUGUUCCCAUCCCCACUGAUCCUAUUCCUAAAAUCCCACUUAGGGAUCUCUCACCCCUCUCUGCAGUCCCCCUUCCAACAUCUGCAGGCCUCUGGGAAGAGCCAUGAUGCCGGUAUAACUUAGAUCAAUGUUACAAGAUGCUUGUAUAUCUUGACUUUUAAGAUAUCAAUAUAACCUGAUAUCUCUAUAUUACAUGUUAUCAUUAUAAUCUAAAUCAUGAUUUUUUAUGUAUUUAUAUGACCUCAUACCUCUAUAACCUGAUUCAUAGGUUUUUUUAUGUAUAUAAUCUGAAUUAUAACUUUUAUACCCAUAUAACCUGAUACAUAUAACUUUUUAUGCAAUGUAAUGGCUAAUAAAUGGUUAACUAGUUGCUUAAUGCUGAAUAGACAAAAAUGGCAGAAAAAAAAUCGCCAGGUGGAUAGCUUUAGGGAUAGAUUAGUACUAAUGAGAAAAUGGCAAGUGCAAAGCCAAUUAUCCACAAAACAAAGAAUUUAGGCCAGUUAGGACCAGACAGACCAAGGAACACCAUAACUGCACAUGGUCCAAAGACAUCAUUGAAAAGUUCAGAUGCGAAGAAGACCUUGGAAGCUUUCAUCAAAGACCCCCGAUGACCCCUGAAUUGGAGAGAUGCAAGCGCAGUGCAGAAGAACUAUCUAAUAACCAUGAGAUCAUACUAUGUAAAUUAGUUCUGGCACAUCGUGGUUUAGGGCAAAUUCGGGAGGAAACCUCCAAAUAGGAUCCCUCUGGGAAACAGACCCAAAUGGCCUCUUCCCCAAUUGGUCUGGGAAAAAAAAUCUCCUUAGAGAAAAGUGGAAAAAAAUAUUUAUUUAACAAACAAAGUGCCCACAAGCACCAAAAAAUGAAUAAUAUGAAACAAUAAAACUUCCCAUCAUUGGUGAGAUGGCAAAAUCAGAAACUCGUUUUGGUGGAGCUCAGCUCACUCAGUCUCUCAUCAGUCCCUCUAGAAAACAGGAGAGGUCCAGGCCCCAGUGGGCCUCAGGUGGGAACUCCCGGUGCUCUUCCACAUUUUACCAGAGCGGGUUUGAACAGUCCCAAGAAAAAGGAAAAAAAAACAGUCCCGGAAACUUCACUGCCUCAGCUAGCUAAAAACGAACUAAAAGCAAAGGAGUUCUCUGUUCUGCUUUCUGUCCGUGCUGCAGACAACACAAUCCAGGAGCACAAUGUGGAGAAGUGAGUGCAGUUUUGGAAAACAAACUGCGCGCUUCUUCUUUACCCCCCUUUGCUCUCAGAACCAGUCUUAAAGGUACAGAACAUAAUAUCCAACUAAACAGAACAGGCAAUUGGGGAUACAAGCAUCACAAAGUCACCCUAGGACAUUCUACCCCUUAUCCCCAUAUUGUCAACUUGCUACCAAAACUAAUACAUAUUCUAACUCUAUGCUCACAUACAUUAUACAUACAUAUACAUAUAUAUAUAUGUAUAUAUAUAUACAGUAGACAGCUAUAUACAGACAAUGGUAGUGACAUUCAGCAAACAAUGAUAUUUACACAUAGUUCUCACCCAACAAUCCUGUCUCCCUGAGGUACACAUGGUGUCGUUCCAUCUUUCUGCAUUAUCCACCAUGAGUAACCUGGUCCCUGAGCAAAGACAACCCCACAGAUGGGCUUGUCUGUUCUUGAGGCAGAAUUGAUCCAAACUGUCUUCUCUAACAAACCUCUGACAUGCACCACUGGGACUUUAUCUCUGUUUACUGUAUGCAGGGGCUCAGACUAGGCAGGGCCUGCUUGGUUGAUGGAGCCUUGGGUGUUAACUAACCAGGUGGCCUUUGCUAAAUGCUGCUCCCAGUUUUUGAAAGAUGCCCCACCCAGUGCUUUCAAGGUCGUUUUUAACAGUCCAUUGUACCUCUCCACUUUGCCUACAGCUGGUGCAUGGUAGGGGAUAUGGUACACCCACUCAAUGGCAUGUUCCCUAGCCCAGGUGUUGAUAAGGCUGUUCUCUAAAUGGGUCCCAUUGUCUGACUCAACCCUCUCAGAGGUACCAUGCCUCCAAAUAAACUUGCUUUUCAAGGCCUAGGAUGGUGUUACGGGCCAUAGUGUGAGGCACAGGGUAGGUCUCCAGCUAUCCUGUGGUGGCUUCUACCAUUGUGAGCACAUAGCCCUUACCUUGGCAUGUCUGGGGCAGUGUGAUAUAAUCAAUCUGCCAGGCAUCCUGAUACUUACAUUUGGACCACUGCCCACUAUACCACAAGGGCUUCACCCACUUGACCUGCUUGAUUGCAGCACACAUCUCACAGUCAUGGAUAACCUGAGAAAUGCUGUCCAUGGUUAGAUCCACCCCUCGGUCUCGUGCCCACUCACAGGUGGCAUCUCUGCCCUGAUGACCUGAGGCAUCAUGAGCCUAUCGAGCUAGGAACAGCUCUCCCUUGUGUUGCCAAUCUAAGUCUAUCUUUGACACUUCUGUCUUUGCAGCCUGAUCUACUCGCUUGUUAUUUUGGUGCUCCUCAUUAGCUCUACUCUUGGAGACAUGGGCAUCUACAUGGCGGACUUUCACAGAUCAUCUCUCUAUCCUGGUAGCGAUGUCUUUCCACUCUUCAGCAGUCCAAAUUGGUUUUCCUCUAUGCUGCCAGUCAUCCUUUUUCCACUUCUCCAGACAUCCUCAUAGAACAUUAGCUACCAUCCAUGAAUCAGUAUAGAGUUUCUUGGGUUAUGUAACCAAAAAAACCCAAGUGUAUUCUAUUUCAUCUGUUGAAAGGAGCUGGGGAGAUGUUAUUUAUCUCUUGUAACUCCAGGGGGGAGGGGGGCAGAUGCCUUCUGAUAAUAGGCCAGCUGUUAAAACCAGGUGGGGCAGUGUUUCUUAUCUCUUUUACCACCCUUUCCACCUUCCAGGGUGAUUUCUUCUGUUAAUGGGCCAUUAAGGCUCACCAAUGACAUGACAUAUUACAUCAUCCCAUUGUAAGGUGCUCCACCCAGUGAGGGGGGAGCCAACUAUUCCUAUGUAGAUAAAAACUGAGACAUAGGAAUACCAGGUAUCCUCUUUUCCACUGGAUUCCCAGAGGAAGAGCAGACUCAUUUCACCACCACUGGACCCUUUCUACAGGAUCAUCUCUACUCCGGCAGAACCACAUCUGUUUCUCCAGGAGAAUUUAUCUGGACUUCUUCCAACACCCUGACCAACAGGGUGUCAGGUCGUAUAUCUGACUCUGUCAGGGUUUCUAGGUUGUUUGUGUGUUUUUGUACUACUACAUUUAUAUUUUUAAUAUUCCUAGUAAAGAAUUAUUAUUCCAUUUCCCAAAACUUUGCCUGAAAGCCUUUAACUGCAAAAUUAUAAUAAUCUGGAAGGAGGGAGGUUUACAUUUUCUAUUCCAAGUGAAACUCCAGUUUUCCCUGACAGAUACCUGUCAUUCUGAACCAAGACAAGAGUUUUGGCCACUUCUGUCCUUCAGCAAUGUCCGGGCCAGCUGUUCAAAACUGAACAGCUUUGAGUCCAGCAAGUUGGCUUGACCCACCUUCUCCUUCAGUAGCUUAUGCAACCUGUCGUGUGGGGCUCCAUACAGCUGCUUUUCACUUUUGUUUCAUCCAUACAAUGUGACAAAAACCAUCUGUAAAAAGAGCAUAAUGUGUUUCUUCCUGCUGGCAGUUGGUUAUAUGGUGGAGCUUCUUUGGCACUUGUCACUUGCUCUUGUUCGUCUGCAUCAGUGAGAUUAAAGUUUUCACCUUCAGGUGAAUUGGUAAUUAUUAUUAUUAUUUGUAAUCUGUAAUUAUCUCUAAAAUCCCAGGGCAAUUCAGUUUUCCAAUAUGGGCACACUGUGUGAUGAGAGCAAUCCACUUACUCCAUGUGGCAUUGGUUGGAUGGUGGAUAGAGGGAACCUCUGCUUUGAACAUCCAGCCCAGCACCGGUAGUUGGGGUGCCAGGAGGAGUUGUGUUUCAGUGCCUGUUACCUCUGAGGUGGCUUGGACUCCUUCAUAGGCUGCUAAAAUUUCCUUCUCUGUUGGAGUGUAGUUGGCUUCAGACCCUCAGUACAUUCUACUCCAAAAUCCUAAUACUCGGUCUCGAGUCUCACCAGGCACGUUCUGCCAAAGGCUCCAGGACAGACCGUGGUUCCUGGCUGCAGAGUAGAGCACAUUCUUCACUUCUGGUCCUGUCCUGACUGGGCCAAAGGCUACUGCAUGAUCGAUCUCCUGCUUGAUCUGGGCAAAGGCUUGCUGCUGUUCAGGGCCCCAGUGGAAAUCGUUCCUCUUGCGGGUAACCAGGUAUAGAGGGCUCAUGAUCUGACUGUACUCAGGAACGUGCAUUCUCCAAAAGCCUAUGGCACCUAGGAAAGCUUGCGUUUCCUUCUUGUUGGUUGGUGAACACAUUUCUGUGAUCUUAUUGAUGACAUCAGUGGGAAUCUGAUGCCAUCCAUCUUGCCAUUUUAUUCCCAGGAAUUGGAUCUCUCGAGCAGGUCCCUUAACUUUGCUCUUCUUGAUAGCAAAACUGGCUUUCAGGAGAAUCUGGAUGAUUUUCUCUCUUUUCUCAAAUACUUCUGCUGCAGUUUCCCCCCACAAUGAUGUAAUUGAUAUACUUCAGAAGUUCUGGAGCCUCACCCUGGAUCAGCCUCUGGAUCAGCCCAUGGCAAAUGGUAGGACUGUGCUUUCACCCUUGCAGCAAUCGGUUCCAGGUGUACUGCAGUCCCCUCCAUGUAAAGGCAAACUGAGACCUGCAUUCUGCUGCUAAAGGAGUAGAAAAAAAUGCAUUUGCAAUGUCAGUAGUGGUGUACCACUUUGCUGCCUUGGACUCCAGCUCAUACUGGAGCUCUAACACGUCUGGCACAGCAGCGCUCAAUGGUGGAGUCACUGCAUUCAAGGGACAAUAGGCCACAGUCAAUCUCCAUUCUCCUUCAGAUUUGCAUAUAAGCCAUAUGGGGUUGUUGAAGGGUGAGUGCAUUUUGCUGACCACCCCUUAGCUUUCCAGCUCAAGGAUCAUCUUGUGGAUGGGAAUCACAGCAUCUCAAGUUGUUCUGUACUGUCGGCGAUGCACUGUCGAAGUGGCAAUUGUUACUCGUUGCUCUCCCCCAUUCAGAAGUCCUACUGCAGAUGGGUUCUCUGAUAGUUCAGGUGAUUCAAAUAAAAUCUAAAAGAUCAUGGACAAAGACCCUAUAACUAGUUACCGUUGGAAAGUAGUAUGUUUAUUUCGACAUUGGGCAGCAGGGGAGGUGCACGCACAUUACAAAGCUCUAGCCCUCUAUUUACAAGUCUUACAUACUCAAAAUGUUUAUACAUAUGCAUAAUCUCAGCACCUCCCAUUCUUCUCUUCAUAUUAUAAUGAGGCUGGAGUCCUUUACACUUGAGCAAUUCUUCACUUGAAUUGGGUUGGUGGUCCUUGAAAUGGCUCAGUGGUCUUGAAAGAUGAAGUCAGGGAUGUCUUGCUCGCAAUGACCUUUCUACCUUUUGCCUCUGGGAGGCUUUUGUGACCUCUUGGCACAAUUCAAUCCCUCCUGCUUUGGUUCCAAUUAGUUUCUGGGUCCAAGUGCGUCAAGAUUCCAUUGGUUUUCAUCUGUUAUCCUCAUGGUCUAUUUAUCUCAUUUCCUUCUACAAACACAACCAAGACAGGCCUAUAAUAGCAAGUAAUAGAUUAUCUAUGCUCCAGCUUAAGCAUCUAAUAAUUAACUCAUCUUUGUUUUUCUAACUUGUAUCCUAAUCAACAUAUAUUGCUUCUAUUCCUUGGUUAAAAUCUUAACUCUUUAAAAUCUUACCUCAUUUUCUGCACUCCUCCAGAAUUAGUAAAUUCUUUUAUCUCUUCUUAUCUCUUCAUCUAACCAAGCUGUGCAGUGUCUCUCAAGACCAUACUGUAUGCUCUUGACAGUGAGGUCAAAGCUGCUACUUGUCACAGCAUUCUCCAGUUCCAAACAAGUACUACAACAGGCAAAAUCAAACUUAUGUCAACUAAAGUAAGUAGAACAAUAAUUGGGUGAACCAAGGUUCACUAUAUGGUUUCUGUGUCACAGUGAAUUGUAAUCCAGGUCUUCUUUUUUCUAUCUUUAAUCUCUUUAAGAAUUUCCUUUAAUUCAUUGUGUUUCAAUAAUUGUGCAACUACAGUUAAGUUCAUCCCUAUAGGCACAGGCGAUAUUUCUUGCAUAGUAGUUUAAUUCGCCUUUAUGUGUUGGUGUGAUACAACAGGUGCCUGAUAGGAAAAAUCACAUUCUUCAAUUUUGACAAAGUUACAAAUCCACAAGUUGAAUUGAGUUUCAUUCGUGGUGAUCUCGUCCACCAUUAUAGUGGGGCAUGUUGUUCUGAGGCAGACACAACCUUGUCCUGUAUACACAAGCAGGGUUGUCUGGUUAAUUGAAUGCAUUUCAAAGUGAUAAAUGCUCUGUUCUGUGUCCAAACAAAUAUUCUUGUCAUCAUCUCUAUUUUCUUCACAUAUAAACCCCAGUUGUUUUCUCAUAGAACAGGGUUCUAAGUUAAUAGUUUGCCAUUUUCCUUCAAGCUUUUGUGCCCACAUUUUUUGUUCAGAAGGAUAUAAUACGAUCCCCUUGUGGUUUAAUCCUAAAGCAACUAUUGGAUGUAUCAAGGUUACUGAUGCACUGUGUAUAGUUAAAGGCUGUUAUCAUACUUGUCACUGGGUUAUAGGUAAAAUAAACUAAAACCCACUAAGGUGUAAGUUCUCUUUCUAAGUCAGAAGCAUUAUCCCAACCAGUUUUGCAGAUUUCAGAAGGGAAUGCGCCUUCUUCGCCUUCUCUGACAACUGAAGCAGCCACUGAUUGCAUCCACAACCGUCCUUGUGUACACCCAAGGGCCAAGGAAGUAGUUUCACUAGCUGUGCCUAAUGUGUUAAUUUUCCCUUUAUGAUCUUGCUCCUCUAUGUUUUCCCAUUCUGGUAAUAUUUUCGACAACUUCUACUGCCUAGUACCAAAUGUCAUUAAGGAAGAUUGUAAAGAUUGUUGUAAUUUAACUAUGUCACUUUUAAUUGCUGUUAAUUUUUUCAUUCUUCUUCAUUUUUUCAUUCAUACUUCUGAAUCUAUUUGUGUUCAAAACCUCCAGUACUGUCUUUAAUAAUCUGGUAAGGUCUCUCUUUUGUCUAAACAGAUCAGGCAUAUGUAGCCAGGUGGUCCAAUCCAUAAAAGAGGUCUUAAGAAAUGGGGCACACUCUGGUUGAAUGGAGGAGGCAUUUACCUGUAUUGCUAUUUCUGCUCGCUUCAAAGACUAUUCUGGAUUAACCAACAGCCUUUGAAUUCCUGUCUUUUUAAUAGCAUAUGGCCCAAUUUUGGUAAUUAUGGGAAUUACAGAUUGAGUAACUUCUAAGGUAGUUGGAUUUUUAGUAGUCAUGGUCUCUCCUAAUGUUGGUGUUGGUGGAGUUAUUUCAACCUUAUCCUUCUGAAAAUCAGUACAAACUCAGAUUAUAUUAUAAUCAAUCUUAAAAUCCUUAAUUGCACAUCCUUCUAUUUUAAGCCUAAACUCGGGACAAUUGAUUAGGCAUUUGUCACAACAUUCAGGUCCGAUUUGGAUGGGUUUCACAGGUCCUUGGUGAGAUUCAUGGAAUCCAUCCUGAAGAAACACAUAUUUACAUCUCCAAAUGUUUCUUCCUUCGCAAACAGUUGCAUUUGUAACUUUCAACAUCUGCCCCUGUGAGGGUAAAAGUCAUAAGCUUUCCCUUGACACUUGUACAUACCAGUCACAUUAUACGCACACGGUAUUGCCUUAACUCCAGCUAUGGCUGUAACAAUGACUGCAGAAGCCACAACUCUCCAAACUAUGCCUGCUUGAUUUUCCAUAACAACUACAAAUCCUUCUAUUCCUCAAAAAAAUUGUUGAGCUAUGCUAACAUUUUACCCACACACUAUUCACUUUCCUGAGUAAGCUUCAAUUUUAGUUCAUUGUCACAUGGUGUGGCUCUCCAAAUUCCUUCAGGAGCCUUCUUCACUCAGGUGUGAUGAAUCUAUGCAUUUUGUUCUUUGAUCUUGAUUGUGGUAAAGGUGGUGAGGAGCACCUGGAAUGAUCCUUCCCACUGGAGUUCCAAAAUCUUUUCUGCAAAAGACCUAACAUAUACAUAAUCCCCUGGCUGUACAUUAUAUACUGGCCCAUCUAGUUCUCUAUUUCGAGCCCCAGCCACAUAUUUCUUAGUUUCUCUAAGCUGUUUGUUGAGGGUCACUCUAUAUUUGUGUAGGGUUUCUUCCCCUACUUGGGUAAGUGUUAUUCCUUCUUGGACCCUGUAUGGUUUUUUAUACAAUAUUUCAAAAGGACUAAAUUUUCUCUCUUGGCUUGGUCCAAAUUCAUAAUAAUGCUAAUGGAAGAAGAGCCUGUGGCCAAGGUAGCUUUGCUUCUGGUCCCAAUCAUAUGAUUUGCUGCUUAAUCAAAUGGUUUGUUUUCUCCACCUGGCCACUUGACUGGGGAUGAUACGGGGUAUGAAGUUCCCAGUUUACACCUGGGUGGUGUCUAAUUUGUUGCAUGAUUUUUGAAAUAAAAAGACCCCCUGUCUGAUGACAUUGCGGUUGGGACUCCAAAAUGCAGUAUUAUUUCCUGUAACAACACUUUGGUUGCCUCUUACACUUUGGCUUUUCUGGUAGGGAAAGCUUCUGGCCAGUCUGAAAAGGUAUCUGUUAACACCAAUUGGUACCCUCCUUUCCUUGGGUAGUUCUGAAAAAUCAAUUUGCCAUUGUUGCCCAGGUCCAUAGCCUUUCUCAGUUUGUCCAAGUUUUGGUUUAGGAAUAUUUUUGGGAUUAGUUUGGAGGUAAAGACUACAUUGGCGAGUCACUUGAAUUACUUUACUUUGCAAGUUUCUGGCUAUGAUUCUGUCCUUCAAAUAGUUAUCCAAGGUUAUUAUAUAUAUAUAAUACUUAGAUAUAUAUGUAUAUACACACACAUAUAUAUACACACA